Molecule: ribosomal RNA, 477 nt
Filed under: uncultured organism
Description: partial 16S ribosomal RNA
Rfam family: Bacterial small subunit ribosomal RNA
Source: RNAcentral
UACACUCCUACGGGAGGCAGCAGUGGGGAAUUUUGGACAAUGGGCGAAAGCCUGAUCCAGCAAUGCCGCGUGCAGGAUGAAGGCCUUCGGGUUGUAAACUGCUUUUGUACGGAACGAAAAAGCUCCUUCUAAUACAGGGGGCCCAUGACGGUACCGUAAGAAUAAGCACCGGCUAACUACGUGCCAGCAGCCGCGGUAAUACGUAGGGUGCGAGCGUUAAUCGGAAUUACUGGGCGUAAAGCGUGCGCAGGCGGUUAUGUAAGACAGAUGUGAAAUCCCCGGGCUCAACCUGGGAACUGCAUUUGUGACUGCAUGGCUAGAGUACGGUAGAGGGGGAUGGAAUUCCGCGUGUAGCAGUGAAAUGCGUAGAUAUGCGGAGGAACACCGAUGGCGAAGGCAAUCCCCUGGACCUGUACUGACGCUCAUGCACGAAAGCGUGGGGAGCAAACAGGAUUAGAAACCCCGGUAGUCCCAUGA